This 435-nucleotide unclassified non-coding RNA is filed under the name Senecio spathulatus var. latifructus. RNAcentral describes it as "partial contains external transcribed spacer and 18S ribosomal RNA". The stretch from base 371 to 435 matches the Rfam family "Eukaryotic small subunit ribosomal RNA", at positions 1 to 65 of the family's 1831-position model. Lineage: Eukaryota; Viridiplantae; Streptophyta; Magnoliopsida; Asterales; Asteraceae. The record is from RNAcentral.
CAACUUCCACCUGGCUUACCUCCNUCAGUUAUGCGUCAUGACUUGUAUCGUCUUGAGCGUAUUGUGGGUUUCCUGUGUUGCAUACCUUUCUAAUGGUAUCGUGUUGAUUGAUCGAAGUCCCUUUUCAUCUUGUGUUGCUUUUUGCGACGCAUGAUGAACAUCGAGGCGGUCUCUAUGUUCCACCACGUUGAUGCUAGCGUUUUGAUGUUGUGGCCCAUUGAGUGUUGCUUGGUUUCGUGGAUACAGAACAUGAUUUGGGCAUAGGGUUACUUGUGACUCUUGUUCUGUCCUUUAUCAGUGUUCUUUAUAACGACGGUUCAUGCGCGCCUAGGCUCGUACCUGCGCGAUGUUCUUUGUCGAAGAGGAAUGCUACCUGGUUGAUCCUGCCAGUAGUCAUAUGCUUGUCUCAAAGAUUAAGCCAUGCAUGUGUAAGUA